This 484-nucleotide ribosomal RNA is filed under the name uncultured Glomeromycotina. Its description in RNAcentral is "SSU rRNA". It matches the Rfam family "Eukaryotic small subunit ribosomal RNA", at positions 596 to 1081 of the family's 1831-position model. Lineage: Eukaryota; Fungi; Glomeromycota. The record is from RNAcentral.
AACGUAUAUUAAAGUUGUUGCAGUUAAAAAGCUCGUAGUUGAAUUUCGGGGUUAGUAGGUUGGUCAUGCCUCUGGUAUGUACUGGUCUCACUGAUUCCUCCUUCCUGAUGAGCCGUAAUGCCAUUAAUUUGGUGUUGCGGGGAAUUUGGACUGUUACUUUGAAAAAAUUAGAGUGUUUAAAGCAAGCUAACGCUUGAAUACAUUAGCAUGGAAUAAUGAAAUAGGACGUUCGAUCCUAUUUUGUUGGUUUCUAGGAUUGACGUAAUGAUUAAUAGGGAUAGUUGGGGGCAUUAGUAUUCAAUUGUCAGAGGUGAAAUUCUUGGAUUUAUUGAAGACUAACUACUGCGAAAGCAUUUGCCAAGGAUGUUUUCAUUAAUCAAGAACGAAAGUUAGGGGAUCGAAGACGAUCAGAUACCGUCGUAGUCUUAACCAUAAACUAUGCCGACUAGGGAUCGGAUGAUGUUAAUUUUUUAAUGACUCAUUC